This 568-nucleotide ribosomal RNA is filed under the name Pleosporaceae sp. Its description in RNAcentral is "SSU rRNA". It matches the Rfam family "Eukaryotic small subunit ribosomal RNA", at positions 663 to 1235 of the family's 1831-position model. The record is from RNAcentral. Lineage: Eukaryota; Fungi; Ascomycota; Dothideomycetes; Pleosporales; Pleosporaceae.
GCCUCACCGCGUGCACUCGUCCGGCCGGGCCUUCCUUCUGAAGAACCUCAUGCCCUUCACUGGGCGUGCUGGGGAAUCAGGACUUUUACUUUGAAAAAAUUAGAGUGUUCAAAGCAGGCCUUUGCUCGAAUACGUUAGCAUGGAAUAAUAAAAUAGGGCGUGCGUUUCUAUUUUGUUGGUUUCUAGAGACGCCGCAAUGAUUAACAGGAACAGUCGGGGGCAUCAGUAUUCAGUUGUCAGAGGUGAAAUUCUUGGAUUUACUGAAGACUAACUACUGCGAAAGCAUUUGCCAAGGAUGUUUUCAUUAAUCAGUGAACGAAAGUUAGGGGAUCGAAGACGAUCAGAUACCGUCGUAGUCUUAACCGUAAACUAUGCCGACUAGGGAUCGGGCGAUGUUCUUUUUCUGACUCGCUCGGCACCUUACGAGAAAUCAAAGUUUUUGGGUUCUGGGGGGAUUAUGGUCGCAAGGCUGAAACUUAAAGAAAUUGACGGAAGGUCACCACCAGGCGUGGAGCCUGCGGCUUAAUUUGACUCAACACGGGGAAACUCACCAGGUCCANAUGAAAUA